RNAcentral lists this unclassified non-coding RNA (383 nucleotides) under uncultured bacterium. Its description in RNAcentral is "contains 16S-23S intergenic spacer region". The record is from RNAcentral.
UCUGGUUUGGCACCGGCAGUCUCCCUAGAGUUCCCGGCAUCACCCGCUGGCAACUAAAGACGAGGGUUGCGCUCGUUGCGGGACUUAACCCAGCAUCUCACGACACGAGCUGACGACAACCAUGCAGCACCUGUCACCGGUCCAGCCGAACUGAAGGGAUCCAUCUCUGGAACCCGCGACCGGGAUGUCAAACGCUGGUAAGGUUCUGCGCGUUGCUUCGAAUUAAACCACAUGCUCCACCGCUUGUGCAGGCCCCCGUCAAUUCCUUUGAGUUUUAGCCUUGCGGCCGUACUCCCCAGGCGGGGCACUUAAUGCGUUAGCUGCGGCACAGGGGGAGUCGACACCCCCUACACCUAGUGCCCAUCGUUUACGGCGUGGACUAC